RNAcentral lists this transfer RNA (89 nucleotides) under Loxodonta africana (African savanna elephant). It matches the Rfam family "tRNA". From Rfam's summary of the family: Transfer RNA (tRNA) molecules are approximately 80 nucleotides in length. Their secondary structure includes four short double-helical elements and three loops (D, anti-codon, and T loops). The record is from Rfam by way of RNAcentral. Lineage: Eukaryota; Metazoa; Chordata; Mammalia; Proboscidea; Elephantidae.
CCUUCGAUAGCUCAGUUGGUAGAGCGGAGGACUGUAGUGGGUUAUCUGUGGCAAUCCUUAGGUCGCUGGUUCGAUUCCGGCUCGGAGGA